UACGUGCCAGCAGCCGCGGUAAUACGUAGGUGGCAAGCGUUGUCCGGAAAUAUUGGGCGUAAAGCGCGCGCAGGCGGUUUCUUAAGUCUGAUGUGAAAGCCCCCGGCUCAACCGGGGAGGGUCAUUGGAAACUGGGAAACUUGAGUGCAGAAGAGGAGAGUGGAAUUCCACGUGUAGCGGUGAAAUGCGUAGAGAUGUGGAGGAACACCAGUGGCGAAGGCGACUCUCUGGUCUGUAACUGACGCUGAGGCGCGAAAGCGUGGGGAGCGAACAGGAUUAGAUACCCUGGUAGUCCACGCCGUAAACGAUGAGUGCUAAGUGUUAGAGGGUUUCCGCCCUUUAGUGCUGCAGCUAACGCAUUAAGCACUCCGCCUGGGGAGUACGGUCGCAAGACUGAAACUCAAAGGAAUUGACGGGGGCCCGCACAAGCGGUGGAGCAUGUGGUUUAAUUCGAAGCAACGCGAAGAACCUUACCAGGUCUUGACAUCCUUUGCCACUUCUAGAGAUAGAAGGUUCCCCUUCGGGGGACAAAGUGACAGGUGGUGCAUGGUUGUCGUCAGCUCGUGUCGUGAGAUGUUGGGUUAAGUCCCGCAACGAGCGCAACCCUUGAUCUUAGUUGCCAGCAUUCAGUUGGGCACUCUAAGGUGACUGCCGGUGACAAACCGGAGGAAGGUGGGGAUGACGUCAAAUCAUCAUGCCCCUUAUGACCUGGGCUACACACGUGCUACAAUGGAUGGUACAAAGGGCUGCGAGACCGCGAGGUUUAGCCAAUCCCAUAAAACCAUUCUCAGUUCGGAUUGCAGGCUGCAACUCGCCUGCAUGAAGCUGGAAUCGCUAGUAAUCGCGGAUCAGCAUGCCGCGGUGAAUACGUUCCCGGGCCUUGUACACACCGCCCGUCACACCACGAGAGUUUGCAACACCCGAAGUCGGUGGGGUAACCGCAAGGAGCCAGCCGCCUAAGGUGGGGUAGAUGAUUGGGGUGAAGUCGA
RNAcentral lists this ribosomal RNA (989 nucleotides) under Metabacillus indicus. RNAcentral describes it as "bacterial SSU rRNA". It matches the Rfam family "Bacterial small subunit ribosomal RNA", at positions 502 to 1489 of the family's 1533-position model. Lineage: Bacteria; Bacillati; Bacillota; Bacilli; Caryophanales; Bacillaceae. The record is from RNAcentral.